Molecule: ribosomal RNA, 440 nt
Filed under: uncultured bacterium
Lineage: Bacteria
Description: partial 16S ribosomal RNA
Rfam family: Bacterial small subunit ribosomal RNA
Source: RNAcentral
CCUACGGGAGGCAGCAGUGGGGGAUAUUGCACAAUGGGGGAAACCCUGAUGCAGCGACGCCGCGUGUAGGAUGACGGUCCUCUGGAUUGUAAACUACUGUCCCCAGGGACGAAGAUGACGGUACCUGGGGAGGAAGCUCCGGCUAACUACGUACCAGCAGCCGCGGUAAUACGUAGGGCGCGAGCGUUGUCCGGAGUUACUGGGGGUAACGGGAGCGUAGGCGGGGAUGAAAGUUGGGUGUUAAAUCUACCGUUUCAACUGGUAGUCGACUUCAAAACUGCAGCUCUUGAGUGAAGUAGAGGCAGGCGGAAUUCCUGGUGUAGCGGUGAAAUGCGUAGAGAUUAGGAGGAACACCAGUGGCGAAGGCGGCCUGCUGGGCUUUUACUGACGCUGAGGCUCGAAAGUGUGGGGAGCAAACAGGAUUAGAUACCCGUGUAGUC